UAAUACGGAGGAUCCGAGCGUUAUCCGGAUUCAUUGGGUUUAAAGGGUGCGCAGGCGGCUCUUUAAGUCAGCGGUAAAAUCGUGGGGCUCAACCCCAUCCCGCCGUUGAUACUGGGGAGCUUGAUUACGGUCGAGGCAGGCGGAAUUCGUCGUGUAGCGGUGAAAUGCAUAGAUAUCACGAAGAACCCCGAUUGCGAAGGCAGCUGACGAGUCCUUUACUGACGCUAAAGCUCGAAGGUGCGGGUAUCGAACAGGAUUAGAUACCCUGGUAGUCCGCACGGUAAACGAUGGAUGCCCGCUGUUGGCGAUACAAUGUCAGCGGCCAAGCGAAAGCGUUAAGCAUCCCACCUGGGGAGUACGCCGGCAACGGUGAAACUCAAAGGAAUUGACGGGGGCCCGCACAAGCGGAGGAACAUGUGGUUUAAUUCGAUGAUACGCGAGGAACCUUACCCGGGCUUGAACUGCCAGCGUACGAUUCAGAGAUGAUGAGGCCCUUCGGGGCGCUGGUGGAGGUGCUGCAUGGUUGUCGUCAGCUCGUGC
This 540-nucleotide ribosomal RNA is filed under the name uncultured bacterium. Its description in RNAcentral is "bacterial SSU rRNA". It matches the Rfam family "Bacterial small subunit ribosomal RNA", at positions 521 to 1065 of the family's 1533-position model. The record is from RNAcentral.